Molecule: ribosomal RNA, 497 nt
Filed under: uncultured bacterium
Lineage: Bacteria
Description: partial 16S ribosomal RNA
Rfam family: Bacterial small subunit ribosomal RNA
Source: RNAcentral
GAUGAACGCUGGCGGCGUGCCUAAUACAUGCAAGUCGAGCGAACGGACGAGAAGCUUGCUUAUCUGAUGUUAGCGGCGGACGGGUGAGUAACACGUGGAUAACCUACCUAUAAGACUGGGAUAACUUCGGGAAACCGGAGCUAAUACCGGAUAAUAUUUUGAGCCGCAUGGUUCAAAAGUGAAAGACGGUCUUGCUGUCACUUAUAGAUGGAUCCGCGCUGCAUUAGCUAGUUGGUAAGGUAACGGCUUACCAAGGCAACGAUGCAUAGCCGACCUGAGAGGGUGAUCGGCCACACUGGAACUGAGACACGGUCCAGACUCCUACGGGAGGCAGCAGUAGGGAAUCUUCCGCAAUGGGCGAAAGCCUGACGGAGCAACGCCGCGUGAGUGAUGAAGGUCUUCGGAUCGUAAAACUCUGUUAUUAGGGAAGAACAUAUGUGUAAGUAACUGUGCACAUCUUGACGGUACCUAAUCAGAAAGCCACGGCUAACUACGUG